AACGAACGCUGGCGGCGUGCUUAACACAUGCAAGUCGAACGAAGGGUUUGGUGGAGCUUGCUUCACCAGGCCACUGAGUGGCGGACGGGUGAGUAACGCGUAGGUAACCUGCCCUGAAGCGGGGGAUAGCCCGGGGAAACCCGGAUUAAUACCGCAUAAGCCCACGGAUUGGGAUGUCUGUGAGAAAAGGAGCAAUCCACUUCAGGAUGGGCCUGCGUCCUAUCAGCUAGUUGGUGGGGUAAUGGCCUACCAAGGCGAAGACGGGUAGCCGGUCUGAGAGGAUGAACGGCCACACUGGAACUGAGACACGGUCCAGACUCCUACGGGAGGCAGCAGUGGGGAAUUUUGCGCAAUGGGGGAAAGCCUGACGCAGCAACGCCGCGUGAGGGAUGACGGCCUUCGGGUUGUAAACCUCUUUCAGCAGGGAAGAAGCGAAAGUGACGGUACCUGCAGAAGAAGCACCGGCUAACUACGUGCCAGCCGCCGCCGUAA
Molecule: ribosomal RNA, 492 nt
Filed under: uncultured bacterium
Lineage: Bacteria
Description: partial 16S ribosomal RNA
Rfam family: Bacterial small subunit ribosomal RNA
Source: RNAcentral